CCCUCCAGACUGGCGGCUGGAGUACCUCUCUUGGAAACUUUAGUUUUUUGCCGUCCUCGCCUUUUGGGGCUGGCCGACUGUGGAGCUUAAAGAAGGCACGUGGUCUCUCAGUGUCCAGUCCCAGAGGCUCCAGUGUUGACAAAUGUUGUUUAUUGGUCUGUUACACAGAAGAGUAUAGUUUCUGAGGCAAAAAUCAUACACACUCUGCUCCUCACAAAACCACGGAGUCACUAAGGCAGGCACACAAUGGCCACACGUGCUUGGUGGAGGCCAAGGACUCACGGACAACAAGGAUGGACAAUGGGGUGGUCUGGCCCCCAGACAGGCUGUGCAGUGCCCGGGGGCAGGGCUGGGCUGGGCCUGGGGGCAGGAGCUAUGCCCUUCCUGGCACCCCCGCAUACACAGCUCCUCCAAGGGGGUUUCUGGGUUCCUAGGCCUCUUGGCAUCCUGAGAAGCAUGUGGAAGGCAGAGCUAGCCUUGCUUCUCACCAGGGACAGAUGGGGACACCCAUGCAUCCCCUGCCUCCCGCAGUCUCAGGGACAUGGCAGAUGUCUGCGACAGAUAAUGGGCUGCCCUCGAACUGAGGCCUGUCUCUGAGGGGAGGCUGUGACCGGAUUCUUCCCCGACAGAGUCACCCUGGGAUUCCUCAGAGCAAGUGCUCCGGUCGCAUUCCAGAUCAUCCACUGGCAAAAGCAUCACUUCUUACACGUGGUUUUCAGGGAAGUACCUAAUGCAGAACGCAAGGGUGGGGUGGCAGGAGCGAGGCUGUACAGAUACACAGAGGUACACUGUACAAGGCCGGGGAGGCCUGGGGGUCACCUCAGGUGGCCAAAGGCAGUGGCAGUGCUGCUGAAGUGGGCUGCUCCCACCCAGGGCCCACAUCUUCCGACUGCCCCAGAAUCUCGGGGGAGCGGCCUGAAGGCGGCCCGGGUCUCCCGUGCCCGGGUCUCCCGCACCCGUGACGUGUGCCUAAACCAGAAGCAGUUUUGGUUGCUCCAGCUGGGGCUGGUGCACGCACAAUAUACUGGGACUGCAAAGGGACCCUCAGAAGGGACACAGCACAGAGCCUCUCGCCCUCUGCCACCCCAGCUGAGUAGGGCCCAGGCCGCUAUAGCCCCUGUUAAUCCUGUGGGGCCCCAGGUUCACUCGUGGGCAGCAGUCCAGGCUGCGGCUGCAGGUGGCAGUGGGGCUACUCCCAGAUGUGUGAGAGGGGAGCAGAGUAGGUGUGUCCCCCAAGGCAGCUGCUCCCUGAGGCUGACCCCUCCCAUCCCGGCCCUGAUCCGAGGGCAUCCUGGCCCCUGACUUGCCCUGCAGGGUCAGCACUGCCGGGAGUCGGAUCCAGGCUCACAACCGCUUUGUUAGGAACAGAGGUGGGGUCGGUUGGUGGCUGGGGAGGUCUGGGCGGUGACUCCCCUGCACCUCUCCCUGCCGGAGCCCAGGCUCUGCACGGCUGCUGCCUCCUGGCCCC
Molecule: long non-coding RNA, 1468 nt
Filed under: Homo sapiens (human)
Lineage: Eukaryota; Metazoa; Chordata; Mammalia; Primates; Hominidae
Description: HSALNT0236051
Source: RNAcentral